GGACGCUUAGCUCAGCGGUAGAGCGCUACAUUCACAUUGUAGAUGUCACAGGUUCGAUCCCUGUAGUGUCCACCA
This 75-nucleotide transfer RNA is filed under the name Holosporaceae bacterium. RNAcentral's name for it is "tRNA-Val". It matches the Rfam family "tRNA". From Rfam's summary of the family: Transfer RNA (tRNA) molecules are approximately 80 nucleotides in length. Their secondary structure includes four short double-helical elements and three loops (D, anti-codon, and T loops). Further hydrogen bonds mediate the characteristic L-shaped molecular structure. tRNAs have two regions of fundamental functional importance: the anti-codon, which is responsible for specific mRNA codon recognition, and the 3' end, to which the tRNAs corresponding amino acid is attached (by aminoacyl-tRNA synthetases). tRNAs cope with the degeneracy of the genetic code in two manners: having more than one tRNA (with a specific anti-codon) for a particular amino acid; and 'wobble' base-pairing, i.e. permitting non-standard base-pairing at the 3rd anti-codon position. The record is from RNAcentral. Lineage: Bacteria; Pseudomonadati; Pseudomonadota; Alphaproteobacteria; Holosporales; Holosporaceae.